CGGAGGGUGCAAGCGUUAAUCGGAAUUACUGGGCGUAAAGCGCACGCAGGUGGCUGAGUCAGUCGAUUGUGAAAGCCCUGGCUCAACCUGGGAAUUGCAGUCGAUACUACUUAGCUAGAGUAUGGGAGAGGGCAGUGGGAUUCCCGGUGUAGCGGUGAAAUGCGUAGAUAUCGGGAGGAACAUCAGUGGCGAAGGCGGCUGCCUGGCCCAAUACUGACACUCAGGUGCGACAGCGUGGGGAGCAAACAGGAUUAGAUACCCUGGUAGUCCACGCCGUAAACGAUGAGAACUAGAUGUCGGGGGGGAUUAGCCCCUCGGUGCCGUAGCUAACGCGCUAAGUUCUCCGCCUGGGGAGUACGGCCGCAAGGUUG
This 371-nucleotide ribosomal RNA is filed under the name uncultured organism. RNAcentral describes it as "bacterial SSU rRNA". It matches the Rfam family "Bacterial small subunit ribosomal RNA", at positions 526 to 896 of the family's 1533-position model. The record is from RNAcentral.